This 267-nucleotide unclassified non-coding RNA is filed under the name uncultured fungus. RNAcentral describes it as "sequence contains ITS1". The record is from RNAcentral. Lineage: Eukaryota; Fungi.
UUUUUUUAGUUUUUAUUUAUCAUUUUUCAUCAGACUGGAUUUAAAAUAGAUUUAUUAAAUAUAUGGCUAUCCACCGACACUUCAUCAACCACUUGCAUUUUAAAUGGAUGAAGGGCAAAAUACUAAAGAAUACUAGAGAUUCAAUAAUAUAUAUACCGGUCUAGUGGAAGCAACGUGGAAUAGAUACACAAGGGAAAUUGGAAAAAAAAUAAAAAGGAAUUUUUAUUUUCUUUGAUAAUGAUCCUUCCGCAGGUUCACCUACGGAAA